RNAcentral lists this ribosomal RNA (429 nucleotides) under Chloroflexota bacterium. RNAcentral describes it as "Chloroflexi bacterium partial 16S ribosomal RNA". It matches the Rfam family "Bacterial small subunit ribosomal RNA", at positions 355 to 776 of the family's 1533-position model. Lineage: Bacteria; Bacillati; Chloroflexota. The record is from RNAcentral.
UGGGGAAUAUUGCACAAUGGGCGCAAGCCUGAUGCAGCCAUGCCGCGUGUGUGAAGAAGGCCUUCGGGUUGUAAAGCACUUUCAGCGGGGAGGAAGGCGUUAAGGUUAAUAACCUUGGCGAUUGACGUUACCCGCAGAAGAAGCACCGGCUAACUCCGUGCCAGCAGCCGAGGUAAUACGGAGGGUGCAAGCGUUAAUCGGAAUUACUGGGCGUAAAGCGCACGCAGGCGGUCUGUCAAGUCGGAUGUGAAAUCCCCGGGCUCAACCUGGGAACUGCAUUCGAAACUGGCAGGCUAGAGUCUUGUAGAGGGGGGUAGAAUUCCAGGUGUAGCGGUGAAAUGCGUAGAGAUCUGGAGGAAUACCGGUGGCGAAGGCGGCCCCCUGGACAAAGACUGACGCUCAGGUGCGAAAGCGUGGGGAGCAAACAGG